Stegostoma tigrinum is the source of this 858-nucleotide long non-coding RNA. RefSeq lists it as uncharacterized. Lineage: Eukaryota; Metazoa; Chordata; Chondrichthyes; Orectolobiformes; Stegostomatidae. The record is from RefSeq and is a predicted model, not a curated record. The transcript has 3 exons.
UGGUAUUGUUAUUCAAGAAGGCAGCAUGGGAUAAACCAGGAAACUAUAGGCUGGUCAGCCUAACCUUGGUGAUGGGGAAACUAUCAGAAGUAAUUCUGAGGUACAGCAUGAAUCUGCAUUUGAAGAGGUCGGGCUCAAACAAGAACAGUCAGCAUGGUUUUGGCAAGAGAAAGGCAUAUCUGACCAAUUUGUCUGAAUUUUUCAAAGAGGUGAUGAGGUGUGUAGAGGAGAGCAACGAUUUGAUGUGUUCUACUUGGACUUCAACAAGGCUUUUGGUAAGGUCCUGCAUGGGAGACUAACAGCAAAGGGGGCGACUGAUCUAUGAAUCUCCGAAUUAUGAAUACGACCCCAUACAGGAAAAGAAUAAUCCACUUCACAAAGAUCGAACAAACGUCUGUUCUUCAACACCUCUUCUUCCUCAGGAGACUAAGGGGAUUUGGCAUGUCCAUAACAACUCUCACCAACUUUUACAGGUGCACCACAGAAAACUGAGGCGGAGUUGUGAACACAGCCCAGACAAUCACACAAGCCAACCUUCCAUCCAAUGACUCUAUCUACAUUUCUCGUUGCUGCGGAAGGGCAGCCAAGAUCAUCAAAGGCCCUCCCACCCCAGUCAUUAUAUCUUCCAACCUCUUCCGUCAGGUAGAAGAUACAAAAGCUUAAACCAACGUACCAACAGAUUCAAGAACAGCUUCUUCCUUGCUGUUAUUAGACUUCUGAAUGAACCUCACAAAUUUCAAAUCUAAUGCUGAUCUAGCUUUUUGGACAUCCUAUUUGCAGCCCUAACGUUGUAUUUCUCACAUACUUUGUUUGCAGCCAUAACUUUGUAUUCCUUGUUCUGUUUAAUCACUUUUAUAA